UUUCAUCCGGUUUUCCCAUGACCAUGCAGAUGAUAAAGGGUAUCAUUCCUUGUAAUAUUUUUGUUUGUCAGGACAAGACGUCAUUACCACCAAAACCUUCUGAUAUGAAAAGAACAUGAAUGGAUCGCGGGGAGCUGGAAAAGAUCCUACUCAAGCUUUUUGAGAGGCAGUUGAAUUGGUCACUGAAGCAGCUAAUGCAAGAAACCGACCAACCUAAGAAAUUUCUAAAGGAAAUACUGAACGAUCUCUGUCUACAACAAGCGAGGGCCAAAUCAAGGGACAUAUGAGCUCAAGCCAGAAUACAAGAAGUCUACAGGGACAACCGCACUACUUGAAGUUUAUGCUAUCUUUUCUAAGCUAGAACGUCUUGCCUUGAUAUGCUGAAUAUGACUUCCCUAAUAAUAUGAUGACCUGUAAGGAGAGAUUGGAUGGACAAGAGUGGGAGUCUCACUGCCUUUCGCGUGGUAUACUUUAGACCUUCACGGCCCCCUUUGGUUCACAGGAUUUUCAAAGGAAAAACGUAGGAAUUCACAGUCCUCUGGAAUGGGUACUGUAGAGCCCUUUGGUUCAUAGGAAACGAUCGAGGGAAAAACACAAGAAACUUCCCUAUCUUUCAACUUUCACAGGAAAACUGCAGGAAACUAACAAUCCACUCGGAUCUCUUUUUUUGGUUGGCUCGCGUAGGAUGGAGGCAAAUUGGUCGUCAUUAGGCACUGCUAAAGAAGCAACAACAACAGGAGUUAUAUAGGCAGUCAACGGCGACUCGACGAGGGAGGACCGGAGUCUCAAUUUGCCGAAGGAGCACCGUAGGCUAGUGCUGCAGCAGAUCGAGCGCUCUGCACCCGCACCUUGGCCCGCCGCUCACUGCUCGCCAGCCACUUACCGAGAGCCCGCCAGCUCGAGUUGUGGUGAAGAGAGAGAGAGAGAGAAAGGAGUGGAUAGGAAGAAAAACGAACUAUGUACACAAAGGAAGGGAUAAGAAUGAUGUAGGCCAACAGACCAGCACAGGGAAUUCUUUUUUCUUCUUUUUGAUCCAUACCGGUUUCCUCAAAGAAAAAUGUUAGAUCAUAACAAAAUAUAAUACCAGCAGAAGUUCACUAAUGACUGGCCUGAGGAGAAGGAACACUUCCACCACCACUUAAGAUGCUACCUAGAGAACACGAAAGUUUGGCAUUAGAAGCUGCAUAACCACAGAUUUGGAUAUGACGAUGGCACAAUGAUAGCUUUAGCUGCAGAGUGCUAUUGGUUUAAUUUGUUUCUAUCUCCCAAACAACAAUCCAUAUGCAAGACUCCCCUGUAAGAUUCAUGUGCAUUUACACGAGCUUAUUUAGAACUUACCUAU
This is a long non-coding RNA of Phragmites australis (common reed), 1342 nucleotides long. RefSeq lists it as uncharacterized. The record is from RefSeq and is a predicted model, not a curated record. The transcript has 3 exons. NCBI's taxonomy places the organism in Eukaryota, Viridiplantae, Streptophyta, Magnoliopsida, Poales, Poaceae.